Molecule: ribosomal RNA, 119 nt
Filed under: Pteropus alecto (black flying fox)
Lineage: Eukaryota; Metazoa; Chordata; Mammalia; Chiroptera; Pteropodidae
Source: RNAcentral
GUCUACAGUCCUGCUACCCUGAACAAGCCCAAUCUCGUCUGAUCUUGGAAGCUAAGCAGGGUCAGGCCUGGUUAGUACCUGGAUGGGACACUACCUAAAAAUACCAGGCGCCAUAGGUG